RNAcentral lists this ribosomal RNA (468 nucleotides) under uncultured bacterium. RNAcentral's name for it is "partial 16S ribosomal RNA". It matches the Rfam family "Bacterial small subunit ribosomal RNA", at positions 28 to 507 of the family's 1533-position model. The record is from RNAcentral.
GACGAACGCUGGCGGCGUGCUUAACACAUGCAAGUCGAACGGAAAGGCCCUGCUUUUGUGGGGUGCUCGAGUGGCGAACGGGUGAGUAACACGUGAGUAACCUGCCCUUGACUUUGGGAUAACUUCAGGAAACUGGGGCUAAUACCGGAUAGGAGCUCCCGCUGCAUGGUGGGGGUUGGAAAGUUUCGGCGGUUGGGGAUGGACUCGCGGCUUAUCAGCUUGUUGGUGGGGUAGUGGCUUACCAAGGCUGUGACGGGUAGCCGGCCUGAGAGGGUGACCGGCCACAUUGGGACUGAGAUACGGCCCAGACUCCUACGGGAGGCAGCAGUGGGGAAUAUUGCACAAUGGGCGGAAGCCUGAUGCAGCAACGCCGCGUGCGGGAUGACGGCCUUCGGGUUGUAAACCGCUUUCGCCUGUGACGAAGCGUGUGUGACGGUAAUGGGUAAAGAAGCACCGGCUAACUACGUG